Molecule: long non-coding RNA, 715 nt
Organism: Columba livia (rock pigeon)
Lineage: Eukaryota; Metazoa; Chordata; Aves; Columbiformes; Columbidae
Exons: 2
Source: RefSeq, a predicted model, not a curated record
CAGUCCCACCCGGGACAUAAAAAACCCACAUCUGUCUCUGCCGCAGCCUGAUGCCGUGUGGGAGCCCCGGCACCCCUUACAAACCCAUUUUCCACAAACAUAAGGUGCUACCGUCACUAUCAUCCUCUCAAGUACAAUAAAGUACAAAGAUCUUUGCCUCCUCUUGGCCAGAGCUCUGAAUCACAGACACACCCCGGACCGGCCCCUAUCUUUAACACCGGGCUGCCCAAACAGCCAUUUCUCCACCAAAACCACACUCGCGGAGGAUCAGGAGAGACAAGAGGCCCCAGCAGCGAAGUUCCUAAACUGCAGGAGAACAGAGAGGGACGAAGUAGCAGCAUCUGCUCUGAGCCGGGGGCUGCACCAGAGACCGCUCGAGGUCCCUUCCAGUCCCCGUUAUUCUGCGUUUUUAAUGAUUCAGAGGAACAUCUCACCCUCAUCCCACCCGCCACAGCCCACACAUUUCACAGAGACAAGGAACAAUAACAUCCUCUGACGCUGAACCCAAAGAAACCGAACAAAACAGAGACGAGAGAUCAGAAACCCGGCACAAAUCGCGAUAAUCAUUUGUCAACAAGACCCCACGGGGCCUGGGGCGUUCGGGAAGAGCCAAAGCAACGCAGUCACCUAUAAAAGCCCUUAAAACACAUCCCUGCCGUGGCUGGGAGCUUUGGGGACUCCUCUCCAAAAAUAAAAGCAACUGAGGGUGGAAUAA